RNAcentral lists this long non-coding RNA (533 nucleotides) under Elaeis guineensis (African oil palm). RNAcentral describes it as "long non-coding RNA (EGUI_LNC029232)". The record is from RNAcentral. Lineage: Eukaryota; Viridiplantae; Streptophyta; Magnoliopsida; Arecales; Arecaceae.
AAUUAGAGAUAAGAGGUAAAUUAGGAAAGAGAUUUUUCAUAUAUAAAAUAUUAUUGACAUCAUAUUAAUUUUUUUCUUAUUUUUUUGGAGAAUUAUUUAGUGUGUGAGACUCUUGAAUCCUUCUCCACAUUCUAAUAAUUUUUUAAAAUUUUUUGGGAUGCCAAAAGGAGGUUUUGGCAUUGACUCUUGGUGCCCUUCCUUAAAAAGUCUUAAUUCCUAGUCUAUAAAAACGGGUCCUCUCUCUUGGACGUCCCAUGAUUAUUUUCUUGAUGUUUUUUAUUUUCAGAGCUUCUCCUCCUCCUCCUCUAUUCCUCCUCUUGAUCCUCUCUUGCUUUGGAGUGUCCAAGGUACUUGAAGAAGGAGGAACAAAUCAGCUGUCGAAAUUACUUGUAGGCUAGCACCUCCAAGUCUCAAAUCUAUGCAUGUCUUUGCAUGAUCUUUCUGUAGAAGUCAGAUGACUUCGUGUGGCUGUGAGUGAUCUGAAGAACACCUUCUCCAACCAUUGGACUAAAGGAGAUUAAGAUCAAAUUUGU